GUGCCAGCAGCCGCGGUAAUACCAGCUCCCCGACUGGUCGGGACGAUUAUUGGGUCUAAAGCGUCCGUAGCCGGCCCUGUAUGUGAUCCGUUAAAUCCAGCGGCUCAACCGCUGGGCUGCGGAUCAUACUAUGGGGCUAGGGGACGGGAGAGGCCGGAGGUACUCCGCGGGUAGGGGUAAAAUCCGCUGAUCCGCGGAAGACCAACAGUGGCGAAGGCGUCCGGCCAGAACGCGCCCGACGGUGAGGGACGAAAGCCAGGGGAGCGAACCGGAUUAGAUACCCGGGUAGUCCUGGCCGUAAACGAUGCCCGCUAGGUCUUGGUGAAGCUUAGGGUUUCAUCAGGGCCGCAGGGAAGCCGUUAAGCGGGCCACCUGGGGAGUACGGCCGCAAGGCUGAAACUUAAAGGAAUUGGCGGGGGAGCACCACAAGGGGUGAAGCCUGCGGUUUAAUUGGAGUCAACGCCGGGAACCUUACCAGGGGUGACGGCAGAGUGAAGGUCAGGCUAAAGACCUUACCUGACAAGCCGAGAGGAGGUGCAUGGCCGUCGCCAGCUCGUGCUGUGAAGUGUCCUGUUAAGUCAGGCAACGAGCGAGACCC
RNAcentral lists this ribosomal RNA (598 nucleotides) under uncultured archaeon. RNAcentral's name for it is "SSU rRNA". It matches the Rfam family "Archaeal small subunit ribosomal RNA", at positions 455 to 1053 of the family's 1478-position model. The record is from RNAcentral.